UACGAAGGGGCUAGCGUUGUUCGGAAUCACUGGGCGUAAAGCGCUCGUAGGCGGAUCUUUAAGUCAGAGGUGAAAUCCCAAGGCUCAACCUUGGAACUGCCUUUGAUACUGGGGAUCUCGAGUCCGGGAGAGGUGAGUGGAACUGCGAGUGUAGAGGUGAAAUUCGUAGAUAUUCGCAAGAACACCAGUGGCGAAGGCGGCUCACUGGCCCGGUACUGACGCUGAGGAGCGAAAGCGUGGGAGCAA
RNAcentral lists this ribosomal RNA (246 nucleotides) under uncultured bacterium. RNAcentral describes it as "partial 16S ribosomal RNA". It matches the Rfam family "Bacterial small subunit ribosomal RNA", at positions 524 to 771 of the family's 1533-position model. The record is from RNAcentral.